GUAGAAGUAGAAGAAGAAGAAGAAGGAAAAGGAAGAGGGGGUGAAGUAGAAGGAGGAGGAAUCAUAUUGGUGCGAGUGCAGCGCGCCAUAUUCUUUGUCCUAUGACACGGCGAAGUUAAAGCUCGCUGGCUAAAUUUAAACGCAGGCACCAGGGCUCCGGAGUCUGAGGCUGAGCAGGAGCAGCCGCCAGAAAGCAGAGCACGUGCUUCGAGCUCUCAGGUGGAUCGAUGUCGAGACCGCGACGUUGCAGUUUCUUCCUAGAAUUUUUAUGAAGUCAAACCUUUUUUCGGCUUUCCAAUUGAAAAUAUAUGCAAGUCGAAAAGAAACGAGAGAGAGAGAGAAAUAAACGAAAGAAGAUCCUUCCGAGAUCAACAAGACACCCAACGAUUAUUUUUAAGAAGAAAACUAAAGAAAAUGUCACGACGAUUGAAAAAUUCUUGAAUGAUGCAGUUGGAUGAUGCAUACAAACUUGUAUGAGUGUACUAAUCGUUUAAUUUUUCGAUAAUUUUACAUACGACGACAACUUUCAGAAAUUUACAAAUAUUUAAAGGAACCCCACGCGUAUAACGAACGUUAUCUCAUCUCUCUGUCAUAUUUCGUAAUAGAUAACAAAACAUUGGGAAGAAGGAAGGGGAAAUAAAAUCAAGUUAAUCGAGUUAUUGAUAAAUAUUGCUCCCAGGGGUCUUUCAAAAUCGGCACGAAUUCUUUUUUUUUUUUUUUUUCUUCGAAACGAUUCAUAUUUUCAUCGACCAUUUUCGCAAAAUUAUUUCUACGUAUAUAAAAAAUUGUAAUUUUGAAGAUUAUAAAUUGAAUAUAUUCAAACCUUUUUUUUACAAAUAACAAUAUGUAUUUGAAAACAUGACAAAUGAUUUGUAAUUCUAACAAUUUUGAUAAUACUUUUUAAACACAUCUUUUUUCUAUCCAAGAAACAAAUGGACUUUCAAGUAUUAAUGAAUUUUUUUUGUUGAGAUCUUUAUAAAAAUAUAUAUUUUGUUAAACCAAAAACGUGGAAUAAUUUCUGGAUGAUUUCAAUAUCGUUAAAUUGCCAAGUAAAUGGUAUUGUCAAAAGAAAACGUAAAGAAUUGAUAUAAAUAUACAAUAUAUCUAUUAUUAUUAUUACGUUACACGAGAGGAAAAAUACAAGAAAAACUUACGCCAUUCUCUAUUGGAUAUUCAUUUGCCUUUCAUUUUGUAUAAAAGCGCGUAUUGUAAUAUUACGAAUGUUCCGCAUGCCAUGAAUAAAAUGAAGGGAAACUUAGUUUUGUAUUGUCGGCGAACGUGAAGAAGGAAAAAAGAAAAAUAUAUAUGUAAAAAGGAAGAAAGAAAGAAAGAGAGAGAGAGAGAGAGAGAGAGAGAGAAAGAAAGAAAGAGAGAGAGAGAAAAAAAAAGGAAAAAAAGAAGAACAGAAUCAAACUACUCCUACGUAAUUUCGUAUAGAAUUCUUUUCCCGCAUUUUGUGAGAUUUCAAAUGUAUGCAAUAAAAUAUAAUAAAAUGAAACAAAAGGAAAGAAGACAGAGAUUCCGAAUAUAUUCCAAACGAAUAUUUGUAAAAAAAAAUU
This 1559-nucleotide long non-coding RNA is filed under the name Polistes dominula (European paper wasp). RNAcentral's name for it is "uncharacterized LOC107073856". The record is from RNAcentral. Lineage: Eukaryota; Metazoa; Arthropoda; Insecta; Hymenoptera; Vespidae.